Molecule: ribosomal RNA, 396 nt
Filed under: uncultured bacterium
Lineage: Bacteria
Description: partial 16S ribosomal RNA
Rfam family: Bacterial small subunit ribosomal RNA
Source: RNAcentral
AUACGUAGGUGACAAGCGUUAUCCGGAUUUACUGGGCGUAAAGGGCGUGUAGGCGGUCUUGCAAGUCAGAAGUGAAAUUCCUGAGCUCAACUCGGGCGCUGCUUCUGAAACUGCAGGACUUGAGUGCUGGAGGGGAUAGCGGAAUUCCUAGUGGAGCGGUAAAAUGCGCAGAUAUUAGGAAGAACACCGGUGGCGAAGGCGGCUAUCUGGAAAGUAACUGACGCUGAGGCGCGAAAGCGUGGGGAGCAAACAGGAUUAGAUACCCUGUAGUCCACGCCGUAAACGAUGAAUACUAGGUGUAGGGGGUAUCGACUCCCUCUGUGCCGCAGUUAACACAAUAAGUAUUCCGCCUGGGGAGUACGGCCGCAAGGUUGAAACUUAAAGGAAUUGACGGGG